RNAcentral lists this ribosomal RNA (465 nucleotides) under Vreelandella stevensii. RNAcentral describes it as "partial 16S ribosomal RNA". It matches the Rfam family "Bacterial small subunit ribosomal RNA", at positions 338 to 795 of the family's 1533-position model. Lineage: Bacteria; Pseudomonadati; Pseudomonadota; Gammaproteobacteria; Oceanospirillales; Halomonadaceae. The record is from RNAcentral.
CCUACGGGAGGCAGCAGUGGGGAAUAUUGGACAAUGGGGGCAACCCUGAUCCAGCCAUGCCGCGUGUGUGAAGAAGGCCCUCGGGUUGUAAAGCACUUUCAGUGAGGAAGAACGCCUGGUGGUUAAUACCCAUCAGGAAAGACAUCACUCACAGAAGAAGCACCGGCUAACUCCGUGCCAGCAGCCGCGGUAAUACGGAGGGUGCGAGCGUUAAUCGGAAUUACUGGGCGUAAAGCGCGCGUAGGUGGCUUGAUAAGCCGGUUGUGAAAGCCCCGGGCUCAACCUGGGAACGGCAUCCGGAACUGUCAAGCUAGAGUGCAGGAGAGGAAGGUAGAAUUCCCGGUGUAGCGGUGAAAUGCGUAGAGAUCGGGAGGAAUACCAGUGGCGAAGGCGGUCUUCUGGACUGACACUGACACUGAGGUGCGAAAGCGUGGGUAGCAAACAGGAUUAGAUACCCCAGUAGUC